UACGAAGGGGGCUAGCGUUGUUCGGAAUUACUGGGCGUAAAGCGCACGUAGGCGGGUAUUUAAGUCAGGGGUGAAAUCCCGGAGCUCAACUCCGGAACUGCCUUUGAUACUGGGUACCUAGAGUAUGGAAGAGGUAAGUGGAAUUCCGAGUGUAGAGGUGAAAUUCGUAGAUAUUCGGAGGAACACCAGUGGCGAAGGCGGCUCACUGGCUCGAUACUGACGCUGAGGUGCGAAAGCGUGGGGAGCAAACAGG
RNAcentral lists this ribosomal RNA (253 nucleotides) under uncultured bacterium. RNAcentral describes it as "partial 16S ribosomal RNA". It matches the Rfam family "Bacterial small subunit ribosomal RNA", at positions 524 to 776 of the family's 1533-position model. The record is from RNAcentral.